This 439-nucleotide ribosomal RNA is filed under the name uncultured bacterium. RNAcentral's name for it is "partial 16S ribosomal RNA". It matches the Rfam family "Bacterial small subunit ribosomal RNA", at positions 338 to 795 of the family's 1533-position model. The record is from RNAcentral.
CCUACGGGGGGUAGCAGUGGGGAAUAUUGCACAAUGGGGGAAACCCUGAUGCAGCGACGCCGCGUGAGUGAAGAAGUAUUUCGGUAUGUAAAGCUCUAUCAGCAGGGAAGAAAAUGACGGUACCUGAUUAAGAAGCCCCGGCUAACUACGUGCCAGCAGCCGCGGUAAUACGGAGGAUGCGAGCGUUAUCCGGAUUUAUUGGGUUUAAAGGGUGCGCAGGCGGUCGGUUAAGUCAGCGGUAAAACCCCGGGGCUCAACCCCGGACCGCCGUUGAUACUGGCAGUCUCGAGUUGGAGAGAAGUAUGAGGAAUGCGCGGUGUAGCGGUGAAAUGCAUAGAUAUCGCACAGAACUCCGAUUGCGAAGGCAGCAUGCCGGCUCCACACUGACGCUGAGGCACGAAAGCGUGGGUAUCGAACAGGAUUAGAUACCCGGGUAGUC